RNAcentral lists this long non-coding RNA (300 nucleotides) under Elaeis guineensis (African oil palm). Its description in RNAcentral is "long non-coding RNA (EGUI_LNC030760)". The record is from RNAcentral. Lineage: Eukaryota; Viridiplantae; Streptophyta; Magnoliopsida; Arecales; Arecaceae.
CGUAUCUAAUUUUUUUUUAUUUUUUAUAUUUUUAGGAUGUCAUUCCAUGUUGACACGUAAGAUUAUAAGAUGAUCUCCCAUAAUAUCACAUGUUAAAUUUUAUUUUUUUAUUUUUUUAUUUUUUUUAAAUAAAAAAUAGAAGCACAAAUAAUAUGAUAAAAAAAAUAUUUUAAAUUUAUAUAAUAAUAGUAAAAUGAUACACAGAUAUUAAAAAUGACAUUCCGUAUUGACACAAAAAAUUAUAGGAUAAUCUUCCACAAUGCCACAUGUCAUCUAUACCUAUCUAUAUGUAAGAUUAUC